This 849-nucleotide ribosomal RNA is filed under the name Peniophora cinerea. RNAcentral's name for it is "partial large subunit ribosomal RNA". It matches the Rfam family "Eukaryotic large subunit ribosomal RNA", at positions 44 to 922 of the family's 3401-position model. RNAcentral also lists the same sequence under 1 other name. The record is from RNAcentral. Lineage: Eukaryota; Fungi; Basidiomycota; Agaricomycetes; Russulales; Peniophoraceae.
CAAUAAGCGGAGGAAAAGAAACUAACAAGGAUUCCCCUAGUAACUGCGAGUGAAGCGGGAUGAGCUCAAAUUUAAAAUCUGGCGUCUUCGGCGUCCGAGUUGUAAUUUAGAGAAGUGUUUUCCGCGCCGGACCGUGUACAAGUCUCCUGGAACGGAGCGUCAUAGAGGGUGAGAAUCCCGUCUUUGACACGGACCCCCGGUGCUCUGUGAUACGCUCUCGAAGAGUCGAGUUGUUUGGGAAUGCAGCUCAAAAUGGGUGGUGAACUCCAUCUAAAGCUAAAUAUUGGCGAGAGACCGAUAGCGAACAAGUACCGUGAGGGAAAGAUGAAAAGCACUUUGGAAAGAGAGUGAAACAGUACGUGAAAUUGUUGAAAGGGAAACGCUUGAAGUCAGUCGCGUCCGCCAGGGUUCAGCCUCACGGUGUACUCUCUGGUGGACGGGCCAGCAUCACUUUCGAUCAUCGGACAAGGGAGUGAGGAAUGUGGCACCUUCGGGUGUGUUAUAGCCUCUCUUCGUAUACGGUGACCGGGAGUGAGGACCGCCUUUUGUAGGAUGCUGGCGUAAUGGCUUUAAACGACCCGUCUUGAAACACGGACCAAGGAGUCUAACAUGCCCGCGAGUGUUCGGGUGGAAAACCCGUGCGCGUAAUGAAAGUGAAAGUUGGGAAGGCUGUCGCGGCCUGCACCGACGCCCGGACUUGAGAUUUAUCGAAGGUUCUGCGGUAGAGCGUGUAUGUUGGGACCCGAAAGAUGGUGAACUAUGCCUGAAUAGGGUGAAGCCAGAGGAAACUCUGGUGGAGGCUCGUAGCGAUUCUGACGUGCAAAUCGAUCGUCGAAUUUGGGUAUAGGG